AACACGUAGGAACGUACCCCAAAGUGAGGGAUAAGCACCAGAAAUGGUGUCUAAUACCACAUGUGGCCUUCGGGCUAAAGCUUUAUGCGCUUUGGGAACGGCCUGCGCAUGAUUAGCUUGUUGGUGAGGUAAUAGCUCACCAAGGCGACGACCAUUAGCUGGUCUGAGAGGAUGAUCAGCCAGACUGGGACUGAGACACGGCCCAGACUCCUACGGGAGGCAGCAGUAGGGAAUUUUCCGCAAUGGGCGAAAGCCUGAUGGAGCAACGCCGCGUGCAGGAUGAAGGCCCUUGGGUCGUAAACUGCUUUUAUAUGUGAAGAUUAUGACGGUAGCAUAUGAAUAAGGAUCGGCUAACUCCGUGCCAGCAGCCGCGGUCAUACGGAGGAUCCAAGCGUUAUCCGGAAUUACUGGGCGUAAAGAGUUGCGUAGGUGGCAUUGUAAGUUGGUAGUGAAAGCGUUCGGCUCAACCGAAUAAACAUUACCAAAACUGCAAAGCUAGAGGAUGAGAGAGGUUAUUAGAAUUCCCUGUGUAGGAGUGAAAUCCGUAGAUAUAGGGAGGAAUACCGAUGGCGUACGCAGAUAACUGGCUCAUUCCUGACACUAAGGCACGAAAGCGUGGGUAGCAAACGGGAUUAGAUACCCCGGUAGUCCACGCCGUAA
Molecule: ribosomal RNA, 660 nt
Filed under: uncultured bacterium
Lineage: Bacteria
Description: bacterial SSU rRNA
Rfam family: Bacterial small subunit ribosomal RNA
Source: RNAcentral